UCGGUUCAACCAGGAUCACCGCGAGGAUGCAAACAACGCCCACGUCCAAGAGAGGAACCAGAUAGCCUUUGAUUUCCUUUGCUUCAUCGCCAACUACCGACACACCAACCCACACCACAA
RNAcentral lists this non-coding RNA (120 nucleotides) under Gloeochaete wittrockiana. The record is from RNAcentral. Lineage: Eukaryota; Glaucocystophyceae; Gloeochaetales; Gloeochaetaceae.